CAUGAGUGAGCUUAAAACAUUUGCAAGGAACACUGCAGCAGAAAGCAAAGCAUUCUGAAUGACCAUUCACUGGGUUUAUUGACGACAAAGGAAACAACCCUUGGUGAACUCUCAUGAAUAUGUCGUAACCCUAGUCAGUUGGUUUGAUGCCACAGAUUGCAAUCUAAUCCAAAGCAUCUUUUUUUCUUUCUUUCCUCUGUGGUGAUUAUGUUUACAGAUUUACUCAGUAAAUACCUCCAUUCUCAACCAUCCAUUCAGGCCAGAGGUAUGUGAAGGACCUGUUGAGACGUAUUUGCCUGGGCCAGAUUAUAAAUUCAUUAAAUAUCAUCUUGUUCUUGGGACCUCAAAAGGGAAGUGUGGAAGGGAGGGUGAUCAUUAUCAUAUUAUCGAAGCAAAGCCAAGGGGAUAAAAGUAGGAACGAGACCUCUCCUUCUCUACAGACAGAUUGAAGACGCGAAGUUGCAGUUGUUGGACCAACACCAGCGAAAAGAUGUCCAAGCUCUCCUUGAUGAUUUUUACCUUCGUCAUUCUGGCCAUCAUUUUGUGCAACCACUCAGCAUGCUCUCGAAAAAGGCCAGGUAACUUUCCCUAUGAGCCUGGGAAUUGCCCAUCAUGCUUUGGAAAAAGUCUGAUGAAGUCUCAAGUCAAACACUGGAAGUGCAACAUGGGAAAUGUGGCGUGUAUUUGCUGGAAGAUACAAAAUGGCUCAUAUGGGAAACGCUGUUCCAAGAAAGGAGGUGGACUUUUCUACAAGGUUUCCACCCCUCUUUAAAAGGCCACAACUGAAUUUCAGAGCUUUCUUACUGACAUUUAUGUAUUUUUUAUUAAUAGUUACACAUAUUCUGUCCACCUGCAAUGUAACGUGCCUCUGCAUCUAACUUAAACUCAAAUAUGUCAGCAUUUCUUAAUAAUAAAGGAGAAAAACAUUUAAAUAUAGACGUUUUU
RNAcentral lists this long non-coding RNA (945 nucleotides) under Astyanax mexicanus (Mexican tetra). Its description in RNAcentral is "lncRNA (ENSAMXG00005019575.1)". Lineage: Eukaryota; Metazoa; Chordata; Actinopteri; Characiformes; Acestrorhamphidae. The record is from RNAcentral.